This is a long non-coding RNA of Thunnus maccoyii (southern bluefin tuna), 596 nucleotides long. RefSeq lists it as uncharacterized. The transcript is spliced from 4 exons. The record is from RefSeq and is a predicted model, not a curated record. Lineage: Eukaryota; Metazoa; Chordata; Actinopteri; Scombriformes; Scombridae.
AGAGCUGCUGUAGUGGUUUAGUCCUUCUUGCUUGCCUGUACCUGUUGCCUGUUCUGACUGCCUGUUGCCUACAUCCAACCUGAUUUCUCUGAUGAUUCCCAUCACCACGUGUGUUUCAUCAUAAUCAGUUCAACUGACACCGGCAUACUGUGAGCUCAGUUGACCUCUCUGACUUACUCUGGAUUGGUAAAAAUGAUAAAAAGUGACUAAAGUUAAUUUCCGGCAAGUUGAAGUAUUCCCUGUGGCACUUGGACUUUAUCGAGCAAAGUGAUGACGAGAACACUGGACAUCAGCACUGUUUGGGUACCUUCGUCAGUCGUACAGAGACACACAGGUGGGUAAGAUUACUGCUCGUGUCUUCACUGGAUAGAGUCGCUAGUCUUUUGAUGUGUCAGCCAGACGUCCAGAAGAACUCCACUGAGUGAUUUAUGAAGCAGUAAAGCUCCCAGCCAAAAGGAUCAAACGUAUGAAGACAUGACCAGUGAUGGCACCCCACUGCAGCUGCUGUAGCUACUGUUCCGCUGGAUAUGUGUGUGUCCAAUACAUGUAUACAUGUGUGUGCAUUUUCUUGUGCGUGUGUUAUGUAAAGGAAAAUA